GAUGAACGCUGGCGGCGUGCCUAAUACAUGCAAGUCGAGCGAACAGACGAGGAGCUUGCUCCUCUGAUGUUAGCGGCGGACGGGUGAGUAACACGUGGAUAACCUACCUAUAAGACUGGGAUAACUUCGGGAAACCGGAGCUAAUACCGGAUAACAUGUUGAACCGCAUGGUUCAACAGUGAAAGACGGUCUUGCUGUCACUUAUAGAUGGAUCCGCGCCACAUUAGCUAGUUGGUAAGGUAACGGCUUACCAAGGCAACGAUGCGUAGCCGACCUGAGAGGGGGAUCGGCCGCACUGGAACUGAGACACGGUCCAGACUCCUACGGGAGGCAGCAGUAGGGAAUCUUCCGCAAUGGGCGAAAGCCUGACGGAGCAACGCCGCGUGAGUGAAGAAGGUCUUCGGAUCGUAAAACUCUGUUAUUAGGGAAGAACAAAUGUGUAAGUAACUAUGCACGUCUUGACGGUACCUAAUCAGAAAGCCACGGCUAACUACGUG
This 497-nucleotide ribosomal RNA is filed under the name uncultured bacterium. RNAcentral describes it as "partial 16S ribosomal RNA". It matches the Rfam family "Bacterial small subunit ribosomal RNA", at positions 28 to 507 of the family's 1533-position model. The record is from RNAcentral.